UACGUAGGGGGCGAGCGUUGUCCGGAUUUAUUGGGCGUAAAGAGCGUGUAGGCGGCCAUGUAGGUCCGGUGUGAAAACUCGAGGCUUAACCUCGAGAUGUCAUCGGAAACCAUUUGGCUAGAGUCCGGAAGAGGAGACUGGAAUUCCUGGUGUAGCGGUGAAAUGCGUAGAUAUCAGGAGGAACACCGAUGGCGAAGGCAGGUCUCUGGGCUGACACUGACGCUCAUGCACGAAAGCGUGGGGAGCAAACAGG
This 253-nucleotide ribosomal RNA is filed under the name uncultured bacterium. RNAcentral's name for it is "partial 16S ribosomal RNA". It matches the Rfam family "Bacterial small subunit ribosomal RNA", at positions 524 to 776 of the family's 1533-position model. The record is from RNAcentral.